Anser cygnoides (Swan goose) is the source of this 1761-nucleotide long non-coding RNA. The record is from Ensembl. NCBI's taxonomy places the organism in Eukaryota, Metazoa, Chordata, Aves, Anseriformes, Anatidae.
CCCGUGGGGGACCCGUGCUGGAGCAGUUUGCUCCUGGGGGAUGGACCCCGUGGCACGGAGCCAUGUGGGAGCAGUUCUUGAAGAGUUGCUGCCUGUGGGCAGCCUCCACAGGAUCAGUUUGGGAAGGAUGGCAUCCUGUAGGAGGGACCUCAUGUGGAGCAGGGAUAGAGUGACUGUGAAGGAGUGCUGUAGACUGACCGCAGUCCCUACUCCCCAUUCCCCUGCACUGCUUGGGUGGGGAGGAAGUGGAGGAGGGUGGAUGGGGGGAAGGUGUUUUUAGUUUCUUUCGUUUCUCAGUUCUCUAGCUUGUUAGUAAUAGGCAAUACUUUUUACUGUCUCCCUACUCUGAGUCUGUUUUGUCCGUCAUGAUAAUUGUUGGGCAAUCUCUCUGUCCAUAUCUAAAAUCUUGAGCCCUUUGCAUCGUAUUUUCUCCCCCUUUACCUUUGUGAAGGGAGAGUGAGAGAGCAGCUCUGGUGGAGCUCGGCUGCUCACCUGAGUAAAACCACCACACCCACCAUCACACCUCCCUGCCUGAUGAUGGGCACGAGGGCAGACAGCAGCACCAGCUGGGCACCACUUCUCUGCAAUGAAGUGGCAACUCGUGGACAUCAAGUGAGGUGGCAGAGCAGGAGCAGGUGGAGUGGGGCUGUGCCCUUGGACUCAUAUGCCCAGACAAGAGCGACUGGGGACACUGGGAUUCAGGGGCAGCUACUGGGAGACUGGAAGGAACCACAGUGUACAUAUGUCUUCAUACCUUUGCCUCUAAAAGACCUUCACUUGGACCAGCCAGAGCUGAAACAUGAGGAAGCCUGUCCAAGCUCAUGGGAGUACUGAAUAUGUCUGUCAGUCUGUGUGGUUAGCAAUAUAUAUAUUACAACAUAUAUAUAUAUACACACACACAUAUACACACACUGUAUACAUGUGUAUGCAUGAAGUCUACCAGGAGUACCUGCUUGCCACUGGCUGGUUCUAGGGCAUGGAGCAUUGCCUCUAUCAGUUGCCAGAAUUGACCCUUCCUAACACAAAUCAGUUUCUUCUAACUACUACAUUCUCUGUAGCUUGGCAGCUAAAACUAAAAAUUGAGGGAAAAAUGGCAGCUAGAUUGCAAAAUUUAGAUUGAUUUCAUUUAAAUACAGAUUCAUUCAGUCCUACAAUUUUUGUGUGUGGCCAGUCUAGGACCUUAACUAGGUCCAUCUCACAUGAGAUGAACAGUUGGUAAAUGCUAAAAUGGGUGUAAUAACUUUAAAUUCUGAUGCAGGCAUUCACAAAGUGACUGCAACUUCAUCGGUCUAUAAAAAGUUUUAAAUUCAGAAAUUAUUUCUAGCCACAGGAUAUAUAUUCAUUAAUUGUGUUGAUUAAACAGAAAAGCUAGUGUUUUCAAAGUUGCAGAUUAGUACUCUGUCAGGCAAUAGCUUUGUGCACAAUUAUUUCCUAUGUAUAUUUAAACCUUUAUCCAGCACCCAACUGAAAUUAAAUCUUUGAGAAGGUUAAAGAUUAAUAUUACCAUUCAGCAAGAAAUUCUCAAACGAAUCCUGCCAUAAUGGUAGCUUUGCUGUGUACCAGAGCAAAACAUCUUAAUUGCUGGUAUGUGGAAGUUUUUCUUUAUUUUAAUGAAGUUCUCAAUGCUGAAAUGCAUAUUAUACAUCAGCUGGAUUAGGUUGCCAUUACAAAUUGAGAAAAAGAUAUUUCAUGUUCUCUUUUCAAUACCGAAACAUGCAAAAGACCAAUAAAUCAGUAUUCAAACAAGUUAAUGUGGAAAUA